This 30-nucleotide non-coding RNA is filed under the name Mus musculus (house mouse). Lineage: Eukaryota; Metazoa; Chordata; Mammalia; Rodentia; Muridae. The record is from RNAcentral.
UCGUGCUGUAUGUUUGGAUACAUACAUUGU